This 70-nucleotide transfer RNA is filed under the name Dipodomys ordii (Ord's kangaroo rat). It matches the Rfam family "tRNA". Rfam says of the family: Transfer RNA (tRNA) molecules are approximately 80 nucleotides in length. Their secondary structure includes four short double-helical elements and three loops (D, anti-codon, and T loops). Lineage: Eukaryota; Metazoa; Chordata; Mammalia; Rodentia; Heteromyidae. The record is from Rfam by way of RNAcentral.
GGAAAGAUAGCUCAGCAGUAGAGUGCAUGCCUUGCAAGCAUGAAGCCCUGGGUUCGAUUCCUCAGUACCA